GGGCGGGCGAUCGGAGGCGUGUCGUGUCACCAGAGACCUUGGCCCGGUGCGAAACGUGUGCGCACAGUUAGCUCAAGAAUUGGAAGAUAAGACUGGCUUGGCCAUAAGGAAGAGCUCAGUGUGUUACGGACAUAUAGGACCAUAAGAUACAAAAGGGGGCAUAGCUUGUGCAGAGAAGCAGCCCAUGAGGUGGGAAGAUGAAAUAUUGUUUACAAAUGUUGAUUAUAUAUGGACAGUAACAAUGAAAUAUUGUAUGGUCAUCUUUUACUGAAGCUGUUAUUUAUAAUUUUAUAUUUGUACCUACCUGGGUGAAAAAUCCUGAUAUAUAAUUGUAUUGUGGAUGUUUUGUUCUCUUUCUCUGUCUCUUUAUACUUUUUUAUUUCCUCCAUUUUAUGUUUUCUUUUUCUCUUCUGCUUAAAUAAACAACUAAAUGAAUGAAUAAAUGAAUGAAUAAAUGAAU
This is a non-coding RNA of Pantherophis guttatus, 460 nucleotides long. The record is from RefSeq and is a predicted model, not a curated record. Lineage: Eukaryota; Metazoa; Chordata; Lepidosauria; Squamata; Colubridae.